RNAcentral lists this ribosomal RNA (403 nucleotides) under bacterium. Its description in RNAcentral is "partial 16S ribosomal RNA". It matches the Rfam family "Bacterial small subunit ribosomal RNA", at positions 355 to 776 of the family's 1533-position model. The record is from RNAcentral.
UGGGGAAUAUUGCACAAUGGGGGAAACCCUGAUGCAGCGACGCCGCGUGAACGAAGAAGGUAUUCGUAUCGUAAAGUUCUGUCCUAUGGGAAGAUAAUGACAGUACCAUGGAAGAAAGCUCCGGCUAAAUACGUGCCAGCAGCCGCGGUAAUACGUAUGGAGCGAGCGUUGUCCGGAAUUAUUGGGCGUAAAGGGUACGCAGGCGGUUUAAUAAGUCGAAUGUUAAAGAUCGGGGCUCAACCCCGCAAAGCAUUGGAAACUGAUAAACUUGAGUAGUGGAGAGGAAAGUGGAAUUCCUAGUGUAGUGGUGAAAUACGUAGAUAUUAGGAGGAAUACCAGUAGCGAAGGCGACUUUCUGGACACAAACUGACGCUGAGGUACGAAAGCGUGGGGAGCAAACAGG